GAGUUUGAUCUGGCUCAGAACGAACGCUGGCGGCACGCCUAACACAUGCAAGUCGAACGAGACUUUCGGGUCUAGUGGCGCACGGGUGCGUAACGCGUGGGAACCUGCCCAAAGGUGCGGAAUAACUCAGGGAAACUUGAGCUAAUACCGCAUGAUGCCGAAAGGCCAAAGAAUUUAUCGCCUUUGGAUGGGCCCCGCGUCGGAUUAGCUUGUUGGUGGGGGUAAUGGCCCACCAAGGGGACGAUCCGUAGCUGGUUUGAGAGGAUGACCAGCCACACUGGGACUGAGACACGGCCCAGACUCCUACGGGAGGCAGCAGUGGGGAAUAUUGGACAAUGGGCGAAAGCCUGAUCCAGCAAUGCCGCGUGAGUGAAGAAGGCCUUCGGGUUGUAAAGCUCUUUUACCCGGGAAGAUAAUGACGGUACCGGGAGAAUAAGCCCCGGCUAACUCCGUGCCAGCAGCCGCGGUAAUACGGAGGGGGCUAGCGUUGUUCGGAAUUACUGGGCGUAAAGCGCGCGUAGGCGGCUGUCCAAGUCAGGGGUGAAAGCCCGCGGCUCAACCGCGGAACUGCCCUUGAAACUGGACGGCUUGAACACGGGAGAGGUGAGUGGAAUUCCGAGUGUAGAGGUGAAAUUCGUAGAUAUUCGGAAGAACACCAGUGGCGAAGGCGACUCACUGGACCGUAGUUGACGCUGAGGCGCGAAAGCGUGGGGAGCGAACAGGAUUAGAUACCCUGGUAGUCCACGCCGUAAACGAUGAGAACUAGCUGUCAGGUCGCUUUGCGACUUGGUGGCGCAGCUAACGCAUUAAGUUCUCCGCCUGGGGAGUACGGCCGCAAGGUUAAAACUCAAAGGAANNNACNG
RNAcentral lists this ribosomal RNA (863 nucleotides) under uncultured bacterium. Its description in RNAcentral is "bacterial SSU rRNA". It matches the Rfam family "Bacterial small subunit ribosomal RNA", at positions 9 to 916 of the family's 1533-position model. The record is from RNAcentral.